CAGAUCAUUGAGUUCCUUUGAUAAUGCUUCUUUUCGAUACUGAAAACUAAUAAGUAAACCAUAGAGCAGAGCACAGCUGAAACACAGGUCCUCUCACUUCCAAAGUUCUAAUGAAGAUUCAAGUUUACUUUGUGCCAAAUUUAGCGGCUUGCUUUGGACUUGUAUAAAUUUUCUUGCAAAUUCAAAUCAGUUACUGUAAUAAAUUCAUAAAGGGAAUAGCUGUAGAUUGCUUCACAUGCAAAAAGCAGAAACCUAAUUAUUUUGCGUCACACUUCAGCGAUCAAUUUUUCUUGGUUCUAUGGCCAAAUAAGCACCAUAUGUUAAUUCAUUUUGAACUAAUCCCUUUUCCUUUUCCUUCAUUUUCUUUUAUCCAUUGUCAUUUAUUUCCAGCAAGCUGUGAAACUAUGCACACACAGAUUACUGUUGUCUGUACAAAUUACCCAAGUGCUAAAGUUGUAAGUUGACAUUAUUUA
Molecule: long non-coding RNA, 473 nt
Organism: Olea europaea var. sylvestris
Lineage: Eukaryota; Viridiplantae; Streptophyta; Magnoliopsida; Lamiales; Oleaceae
Exons: 2
Source: RefSeq, a predicted model, not a curated record